Molecule: ribosomal RNA, 253 nt
Filed under: uncultured bacterium
Lineage: Bacteria
Description: partial 16S ribosomal RNA
Rfam family: Bacterial small subunit ribosomal RNA
Source: RNAcentral
UACGUAGGGUGCAAGCGUUAUCCGGAAUUAUUGGGCGUAAAGAGCUCGUAGGCGGUUUGUCGCGUCUGCUGUGAAAACUGGGGGCUCAACCCCCAGCCUGCAGUGGGUACGGGCAGACUAGAGUGCGGUAGGGGAGAUUGGAAUUCCUGGUGUAGCGGUGGAAUGCGCAGAUAUCAGGAGGAACACCAAUGGCGAAGGCAGCACUCUGGGACGUGACUGACGCUGAGACGCGAAAGCGUGGGGAGCAAACAGG